CCUACGGGGGGCAGCAGUGGGGAAUAUUGCACAAUGGGGGAAACCCUGAUGCAGCGACGCCGCGUGAGGGAAGAAGUAAUUCGUUACGUAAAGCUCUAUCAGCAGGGAAGAAAUACUGACCUUACGGUCAGCAGACGGUACCUGAGUCAGAAGCCCCGGCUAACUACGUGCCAGCAGCCGCGGUAAUACGUAGGGGGCAAGCGUUAUCCGGAUUUACUGGGUGUAAAGGGAGCGUGGACGGUGCGCCACGUCUGGAGUGAAAUGCCGCAGCUUAACUGCGGAACUGCUUUGGAAACUGGCGAACUAGAGUGCGGGAGGGGUAAGCGGAAUUCCUAGUGUAGCGGUGAAAUGCGUAGAUAUUAGGAGGAACACCGGUGGCGAAGGCGGCUUACUGGACCGUAACUGACGUUGAGGCUCGAAAGCGUGGGGAGCAAACAGGAUUAGAUACCCCGGUAGUC
Molecule: ribosomal RNA, 458 nt
Filed under: uncultured bacterium
Lineage: Bacteria
Description: partial 16S ribosomal RNA
Rfam family: Bacterial small subunit ribosomal RNA
Source: RNAcentral